UACGAAGGGGGCUAGCGUUGUUCGGAUUAACUGGGCGUAAAGGGUGCGUAGGCGGGGUUUUAAGUCAGGGGUGAAAUGCCGAGGCUCAACUUCGGAACUGCCUUUGAUACUGGAACUCUUGAGUCCGGGAGAGGUGAGUGGAACUGCGAGUGUAGAGGUGAAAUUCGUAGAUAUUCGCAAGAACACCAGUGGCGAAGGCGGCUCACUGGCCCGGAACUGACGCUGAGGCACGAAAGCGUGGGGAGCAAACAGG
Molecule: ribosomal RNA, 253 nt
Filed under: uncultured bacterium
Lineage: Bacteria
Description: partial 16S ribosomal RNA
Rfam family: Bacterial small subunit ribosomal RNA
Source: RNAcentral